This 27-nucleotide small RNA is filed under the name Bombyx mori (domestic silkworm). RNAcentral's name for it is "ovarian small RNA-21922". Lineage: Eukaryota; Metazoa; Arthropoda; Insecta; Lepidoptera; Bombycidae. The record is from RNAcentral.
UAGACCUGAAAUUUGAGUGCCAGCGUC